This 516-nucleotide long non-coding RNA is filed under the name Bos indicus x Bos taurus (hybrid cattle). RNAcentral describes it as "lncRNA (ENSBIXG00005019753.1)". The record is from RNAcentral. Lineage: Eukaryota; Metazoa; Chordata; Mammalia; Artiodactyla; Bovidae.
GUAAAGACAAAGAAUCUCCCAAUUUAUCCCUCCCCUUCUGGUAGGCUGCAGUCCAUGGGGUCGCUAGGAGUCGGACACGACUGAGCAACUUCACUUUCACUUUUCACUUUCCUGCGUUGGAGAAGGAAAUGGCAACCCACUCCAGUGUUCUUGCCUGGAGAAUCCCAGGGACGGGGGAGCCUGGUGGGCUGCCGUCUAUGGGGUCACACAGAGUCAGACACGACUGAAGUGACUUAGCAGCAGCAGCAGCAGCUCCCAUUCCCACCCCUCCGGAUAAGAACAGGGAGGAUCAGAGACAAUCUAAGUCACCCAAGGUCAAAGUCAUAUCCCAGGUCACCGGCAAAGGCGGUGGACAAUUCCGGUCGUCUGGGGCAGGACCUGCUCUCUUUUCUAACACCAGGCCUCAGGCCAUCUACAGUAGUUCUCAGCAUCUCAUGAUGCAGGUAACAUUCCACCUUUCAGGAAAGGACAGGUAGGUGCCCUGAAAAUGGCGAAGGCCUGACCACUGUGCUUGAC